Monopterus albus (swamp eel) is the source of this 1459-nucleotide long non-coding RNA. RefSeq lists it as uncharacterized. The record is from RefSeq and is a predicted model, not a curated record. NCBI's taxonomy places the organism in Eukaryota, Metazoa, Chordata, Actinopteri, Synbranchiformes, Synbranchidae. The transcript has 3 exons.
AAUGAGUGACCCUGUUAACUGGUGUCUGUCAGGUGAAUGCGUCAGUGGUUGCUCAUACAGCAAAUGUCGAAAACAGGAAAAGGACAGCAGUUUUCUGGGAGUAGUGAUGCAUUACCUGACAGAAGUUCAGCGGUACCAAUAUUUUGGGCCAUGACUGUAGAAAGCCUUCCACGAAUGAGGAUGCCAUUUCCCUAGGACGCCAUUUCUGUGAGUGGAGCUCAGGACAAUGGAGUACAUUUCCACAUGAAAAGAUGGGGACAGAGAAGGAGCAGGAGGAGGUACAGAGUGCUGUGCCCUUCAUCUGCGUUACCAUGGGGAUCAACUGUACUGCACCCUCCAGGACUGUAAUUGGCUGAAGAGGGUUCCAUUUGGCCUCUCAGAAUCCCUCUCGCGAGUUCUUUCUGUCGCAUGUUCCAUCUAGCCACUUCACAGUCCUAUUCACAUGAAAAAUAGAGAUCUUGGAUGCAUUGAUAAAACACUUUGAGUGCAACUUCAGUCUUUUUUUCAAUCACUAAUACACUGUGCUGUAUAUUUGCUUGCGUCUUUGAGAGCACUUUGCUGCCCACACAGAAAGUGUACUAGGUACCAUAAAAGUUAUAUCAACUAACUACUAAAUCUACCGCCCCCAUCUCCCGCCCCCUCCCAAAUAAAUAAAAAAAUAAAAAUGAGCGCAAAGAAACAUGAUGCAAAAAGUCAAUCAAGAAAUUCUGAGAUACAGGUCAGCACUGCAAAAGGCACUGAGAUAAAAUGUUUGAUGAUACAAUCAGUUCUUUUUUUUUAUGUUCACCCCUCACACACUCUCACAUUGCUUUUCAAAUUAUAUUCACAAAAGGCUAUUUCACCAAAUCCGCUCACAUAGCCCUUUCUGUUAUCAAGAUGAACUGCUGACGCGGUUCAAUGCAGAAAACAAAUGUGCAAAGUCAGACAGCACUUCGCCCAUCUCCAAGAGAAUACCUCAGUCAGACGAACACGCUUAUCUCUGAUGUAUUCUCACCAAGUUCUCUGUGCUGACAAAGAAGUGCAACUCUAAACUGGGGUUUUUGCUCGAUACCUGUUGAGCAGCACAGUGAAUCAAGGGUGAUGUCAACAUUUGUACUGCAUCUCUACACAGAAUCAGCGCAAAUGUUGACAUCACCCUGGUUUUAGAACUUUUUUCACAUCUACACCUAAGGUAAAAGGAAUCAUAAUAACCAUUUUGUAAUCUUACUGUGACUUGGUCUGAAUGUUUUCACUCUUGUGGUUGUUUUUAUUCUUCAAGGUAAUAGCUGCAACUUAUAUCCAUCAGUCGGUGUGUGUUAAUCCAUCUAUCGUUUUUUUCUAUCUACAAGCACGCAUAUGUUAUACCUACAACAUGGAUAGUUCACUAAUUAUUAGUGGAUCUAAUUAGCCUGCCUUUCCUCUUGUAUGCUCUGCACGCUCCUCUGUCUUUCUGCCUCUUCAUGCAUGUUUUUUUAAGCCA